This is a ribosomal RNA of 279 nucleotides. The stretch from base 94 to 279 matches the Rfam family "Eukaryotic small subunit ribosomal RNA", at positions 734 to 919 of the family's 1831-position model.
CUGGGGUUCGGGUCGGCGGUUUGCCGCUAUGCGGCUACUGCCGUGCUCGACUCUUUCUAGCCGGUGCGUCUGCAAGUGCUCUUCACUGAGUGCUUGCAGAGCCUGGCAUGUUUACUUUGAAAAAAUUAGAGUGCUCAAAGCAGGCGCUUGCGCCUGAAUAGUGUUGCAUGGAAUAAUGGAAUAGGACCUCGGUUCUAUUUUGUUGGUUUUCGGAACUUGAGGUAAUGAUUAAGAGGGACGGUCGGGGGCAUUCGUAUUUCGGUGUUAGAGGUGAAAUUC